UGGCUAAUUUUUGUAUUUUUAGUACAGACGGGGGUUUCACCAUGUUGGCCAGGCUGGUCUCGAACUCCUGACCUCAGGUGAUCCGCCCUCCUUGGCCUCCCAAAGUGCUGGGAUUACAGGUGUGAGCCACCACACCCGGCCUCAUAUCUCCUUUUAAAUAUGCCAAGGGACUUGGUUAUUUAAAGGAAUCUACUGGCAAAUGUUCUUCUUGGAAAAUGAAAGAUUUUGUAAUUAAAAUAAUCACCCCAUGUUAUGUUUUUUACAAGUCUGAUUGUAUUUUAGCACCAGAUUUUUCUUGGCAGGUGGGAGGUGUCUGGUUUGAGUGGGAAGAGUAUUGCCCAGAGGGGGAGACCAAGAGCCAAAGCUAGAAGCCCAUUUGCUAUUUUAUCCUUUUCCGUCUUGUUCUUCAAUCUAAGGGGCAAGAUGGGACUUAGACCAGGAGUGGACAUGAUUGCACUGACCGAGGAUUUCUCUGUCUGGGUAGUUGUCACUCCUAUGCCAGGAGAGCAUUGCCUUGCCCACCAAGACUCCCCACAGUGGUCUCCACCGCAGCCUGCUUGGCACACCAAACCAAAUCACCAGCAUCUGCAAGGCCUGCAUCAUUCAUGUUUUGGUAAAGAUCAAGGAAAUGAAAGGAAAGGGUAAUCAGAAAUUCUCACACCAGAAACCAAAGAAAUCCUUUGUAAUUUUUCCACGUAGUCAUCCGAGGAGGAAUUAUCAAAAAAUUCAAUGACACUUUCUCACAGAGGGUUCUCAUCUUGGGAAUCUUAAUGGGAUUCUUCUCACGCAUUUGAGUUUGCCUGGAUUUGUCUCUGUGUACUUAACUGAUUCACAGAGCCAUUUUGUGUUGUGAAAACUCUGGGGUCAUGAAUAGGGAAGGGGUGGGAAGACAAUCCCAGACUAAAGCCUGGGGUCCUGGAAUAAUUGCUGUGCGGCAUUGGCUUCUUUAUGAAUCUUCACUUACUGUUGUUUAAAUUAUGUUUAAAAACCUGAAAAGCUCUGUCUAAUAGCUGAGCCAUAUAUAGAUCAACGCUUCCCAAACUUUUCCAUUGAGGUGCCUCUAAUGCAGCAGAAGGGUUGAACCACACUCUGCCCCUGGCCCUCCUACUCUCCUGAUGUCUGUGGGUCAUGGAAGGAAAUCCACAACAUAUCCUCCUCAAAGUCUUCUAUUCUAGCUAAAAAAUUCGCAUAGAUAUUGCACCUCUGCUUUGGGCCUUCGAGUGUGAGUUACCCUAGCACAGGAAGAUGGUCACAGGUUGAGCUUCCACCAGCUGAGCUGUCAGAUUAACUCUGGAUCAGCUAACUCCAGCUUUGAGGUCACAUGUGAGGCCAAAUGUCUCAGGGUCAUAGGUCUAUUACAUUUUCUUACAGCAGUAAAAGUAACCGGACUGUUACCAUCAGAAUUAUGAACUACAGAUCCUUUCUCAAAUACGAAUGGAUACACUGAAAUCAGUGGCAUUCAAGAAGCCCUGAGGAGAGGUCCACAUGGUGAGCCACUGAGGGCCUUGCCAAGAGCCAGCACCAACAUGCCAGGUUUGGAGUGUACCACCUUGGAAGUGAAUCUUCCAGUCCAGUCAAGCCUUCAGGUGACUUCAGAACCGUCCCUGUAAGCCACUCUUGGAUUUCUGACCCACAGAAACUGUUGGAGGCAUUAUCAACAGUUUCUAACAUCAGAGACAGACAAACAUGUGCCUCCUGAUUGAAAAAACAGAGCAUCACCUGUAGCCUUGCCAGUGAGAUCAAACUGAAGUCCAAUUAACCUCUGGAUCCAGCUGCCAAUUUGCAGGAAAUAGAGGACAGAAGCAUCUGUUGAACUGCACCAUGCGUAUACACUCAGCAGAGGCCAAACUGGAAAAUGAUACAGGCCAAACAGCCUUUAACAGGAAGUGAUGUUUCUGAAGCACCAAUGAAAAUGAAGUCCUGAAGUCUUGUGCUCAAUAUGUAAUGUUGGAAGUUAGAAAGAAGAAAACAAAACGUGGAUCCAAUCUCAAGGCACUUUUGGUUUAGUGGGAAGAAGUGGAUUAUUUUAAAAGCUACAAAUAAAGUUACAUA
Long non-coding RNA from Symphalangus syndactylus (siamang), 2052 nucleotides. RefSeq lists it as uncharacterized. Lineage: Eukaryota; Metazoa; Chordata; Mammalia; Primates; Hylobatidae. The record is from RefSeq and is a predicted model, not a curated record.